AUGAUUCGUACGACCAAUGAUAUAGUGCGCACCCUACUACUACAAGCCACUUUACCCCCUCCCUUUUGGGUCGAGGCUCUCCACACCGCCACCUACCUGCUCAACCGGCGGCCAUCCCGUGCUAUAGCUCCUCACACACCUCAUUUUCUUCUUCAUGGCAUACCCCCAACCUAUGAUCAUGUUCGCGUUUUCGGUUGUCUAUGCUUUCCAAACUUGUAUGCCACCAUGGAUCACAAGCUUGCUCCGUGCUCUACCCGCUGCGUUUUCCUCGGCUAUGCCCUCGAACAUAAAGGUUAUCGCUGUUUCGACCUCACCUCCCAACGCGUCAUAGUGUCUCGCCACGUUAUUUUCGACGAAACAAUUUUUCCAUACACAACA
This 378-nucleotide ribosomal RNA is filed under the name Triticum aestivum (bread wheat). Its description in RNAcentral is "partial small subunit ribosomal RNA". The record is from RNAcentral. Lineage: Eukaryota; Viridiplantae; Streptophyta; Magnoliopsida; Poales; Poaceae.